AGUGAACGCUGGCGGUAGGCCUAACACAUGCAAGUCGAACGGCAGCACAGUAAGAGCUUGCUCUUACGGGUGGCGAGUGGCGGACGGGUGAGGAAUACAUCGGAAUCUACUUUUUCGUGGGGGAUAACGUAGGGAAACUUACGCUAAUACCGCAUACGACCUACGGGUGAAAGCAGGGGAUCUUCGGACCUUGCGCGAUUGAAUGAGCCGAUGUCGGAUUAGCUAGUUGGCGGGGUAAAGGCCCACCAAGGCGACGAUCCGUAGCUGGUCUGAGAGGAUGAUCGGCCACACUGGAACUGAGACACGGUCCAGACUCCUACGGGAGGCAGCAGUGGGGAAUAUUGGACAAUGGGCGCAAGCCUGAUCCAGCCAUACCGCGUGGGUGAAGGAGGCCUUCGGGUUGUAAAGCCCUUUUGUUGGGAAAGAAAAGCAGCAGGUUAAGACCCCGCUGUUCUGACGGUACCCAAAGAAUAAGCACCGGCUAACUUCGUG
Molecule: ribosomal RNA, 492 nt
Filed under: uncultured bacterium
Lineage: Bacteria
Description: partial 16S ribosomal RNA
Rfam family: Bacterial small subunit ribosomal RNA
Source: RNAcentral